UACAGAGGUGGCAAGCGUUGUUCGGAAUUACUGGGCGUAAAGCGCGUGUAGGCGGCUAUGUAAGUCGGGCGUGAAAUCCCACGGCUCAACCGUGGAAGUGCACCCGAAACUGCGUAGCUAGAGUCCUGGAGAGGAAGGUGGAAUGCUUGGUGUAGAGGUGAAAUUCGUAGAUAUCAAGCGGAACACCGGUGGCGAAGGCGGCCUUCUGGACAGUGACUGACGCUGAGACGCGAAAGCGUGGGGAGCAAACAGG
Molecule: ribosomal RNA, 253 nt
Filed under: uncultured bacterium
Lineage: Bacteria
Description: partial 16S ribosomal RNA
Rfam family: Bacterial small subunit ribosomal RNA
Source: RNAcentral